This 9765-nucleotide long non-coding RNA is filed under the name Sarcophilus harrisii (Tasmanian devil). RNAcentral's name for it is "lncRNA (ENSSHAG00000025013.1)". Lineage: Eukaryota; Metazoa; Chordata; Mammalia; Dasyuromorphia; Dasyuridae. The record is from RNAcentral.
AGGGAAGAGAGAGAGGACCUGUGUUAUAUAUAGAAAAGGGUAAAGGGGGAGAGGGAGAGGGAAAUGAAGAGAGGGAGAAAGAGAGAGGAAGAGAAACAGAGUAUGUGAAGGAGGGAAAGAGAGAGGGAGAGAGAAAAAGAGAUAGUGGAAGAGAGAGAGGAAGAGGGAGCAACACAAAAGGGGAUAAAGACAGACAGAGGAAGAGAGAAAAAAUAAAGGGAGAGGAGGAUAGAGGAAGAGAGAAAGGAAGAAAGAGAAAAAUAGUAGAAAAGAGGAAGAGAGAGAGAGAGAGUGGGAGAGAGGAAGAAAGAGUGGGAGAAAGAGUAGAAGAGAGAGGAAGAGAGAGAGACAGAGACAGAGAGAGAUACAAAGAAGAGAGAGAGGGGCGGAGGAAGGAAGAAAGAGAAGAAGAGAGAGGGAGGGAGGGAAGAGAGACAGACAGUAGAACUAGUGAAUGAGAAAUGACUGGAUGGAGAGCAUGUGAAUAGCUGGAGGCAUGCAGAGAAAAGGAGGUGAAUGGCUACAGAUGGCUGCUGGGAGAGACAUGACUAAAGACAAGAUGAACUGUAGUAAAUAGAUAUGUGUAAAUGGAGAAGUUGUGAGAGUUACUAUUAAUUGUGGUACCAAAGUGCCUAAACUUAAAUACCAGGAUAUACAAGAGACAAUAUGGGCAGAAAGUCCAAGAAAAAAGAGGUGUAAUGUAAGAGAAUUCAAGUGACAAAUAAAUGAAUGGAAAGAAUGAAAUUGUGUGAAAUAUAUGAGGGUAGAAACAUGAAUAAUAUGUAACAAAAGAUGGAAAGCAUCCAAAGGGAUAGAAAUAAAUGCAUGGAAGGACCUAGACAUGGAUGGAUGAAAGAGUCCCCAAGUGGAUGGAUUCACCGAGACAGAAUAGUGUCUUGUGGAAACAUAGAGGAUGUGAGGGUGUGACUGAAUAAAUGUGGAGACCUAGUAAGUCACUAAGGAAUCUAUAGGGGUAUAUAGAUUGAGAAAUGGGUGAUAUGAAAAGAGAAAAAGUGAGAUUCUGGUGUAGGAGAGAUUAAGAAAGUGAAAAUAUGAAUGAAUGGACAUUUUCAAAUAAAUAGAAUUGUACAGUAUUAGGCCCUUGUAGGAAGAGCCUGGGAUGAAUAUUAAGACCAAGUGAAAAGUAAUAAAGGGUGGGAGAAAUGUGAUGAGUGAAAUACAGAUGGUGUAAGUGUUCCAGAGUAAGUCAGAAAGAUCAAGAAAGAUGUUUUUAGAAAGUCAAGUAAUAUAAGCUGAAACAGUGGGUGGUUGAAGAAAAUAAGGGAGCAUAAAGUUGGAUGGAUAAAAAUACUUAGAUAUUCAGACAUAGAUUACUGAAGAGACCCGUGUAGUGAGUUUUAAAGGAUUGAAGAGACCAACUCAGAGGUUUGAAAAAUGGAGAAAACAAGAUUUGCCAUGAUGAAUGGAAAACAUGAUGGUGAAAGACAGAUAUAUUAUGAAUCGAGAUUGCUGAGAUUCCAGAUGUUGAGACACUGAUGUGUGGAGAGAACUGUAAGAAAUGGAGAUUUGUGCAUGGAAAAGUUGACAGAAUUAGAAAUAGAGAUGGCAACAGGCCGAGAUAGGACUGUUUGAAAGGAAUAGUGCACUGAGAGACAUGUAAGAGCAGAGUUGAAGAAAAAGAGAGGUGUAAUGUAACAGAAAACAGUAAAAGAACUUUGAAUAGAACAGAAUUUUGAAUAGAAAUAAUGUAAUUAUAUAAAGUGCAAAAGUAUAGAAAUACAAAUUAGGAUAGAUAAAAGGAACCAGAGUAACAGAGGAAAAAAAAAACAGACACCUAGAUCAAAAAACAUAAAUGAAUGAAAGGAGAAAUCCAGAAAAAAAGAUAUGAAUGGUUUGAUAAAGAAUUAAGAGAAAUAGAAAAUAUGUGGAUAGCUGGAAAGGGUAUCGAGAUGUAGAGCAGAAUCGCAAGGGAGGGAGUGCUCAAGCCCUGGAUGACAGUCCUCAUGCUACUAAUGAUUUUAGGAAAACUCCAUUCAUUCCUAUGCUCUUUAGUGUUUUUAAUAGGAAUAGAUGUUAUAUUUUGCCAAAUGCUUUUUCUACACUUAUUGAUAUAAUCAUAUGAUUUCUGUUAGUUUGGUUUUUGAUAUUGUCACUUGUGCCGAUAGCUUUCCCGAUAUUGAACCAGCCCUGCAAUCUUGGUACAAAUCUUACUUGGUCAUAGUGUAUUAUCCUGGUAUGAUAGGUUGCUGUUAUCUUUUUGCUAAUUUUUACAUCAAUAUUUAUUAGGGAAAUUUGCCUCUAAUUUUCCUUCUCUGUUUUGGCCUUUCCUUCUUUAGCUAUCAGCACAUAUGUGCGGCAUAAAAGAAAUUUGAUAGGACUCCUCCUUCCCCUAUUUUUCCAUAUAGUUUGCAUAAUAUUGGAAUUUAGUUUUUUUUUAAUAUUUGGUAGAAUUCACUUUUAAAUCCAUCAGGCCCUGCGGAUUUUUUCUUAGGGAAUUUAUUAAUGGCUUGUUCAAUUUCUUUUUCUAAAAUGAAACUAUUUAAGUAUUUAUUUCCUUGUCUAUUAAUCUGAGCAAUCUAUAAUUUUGGAGGUAUUCAUCCAUUUCACUUAGAUUAUCAGAUUUAUUGGCAUACAGUUGGACAAAAUAACUCCUAAUAAUUGUUUUAAUUUUUUCUUCAUCGGUGAUAAGAUUUUCAUUUUUGAUACAAGUAAUUUGGUUUUCUUUCCUUUUUCUAAUAAAAUUAACCAAAGGUUUAUCUAUUUUUCUUUCAGAAAACCAACUCUUAAUUUUAUUAAUUAAUUCAAUAAUUUUCUUUCAAUUUUAUUAAUCUCUCCUUUGAAUUUCAAAUUUUCUAAUUUGGUAUGUAAUUGGAGGUUUUUAAUUUGUUCUUUUUAAGUAGUAUGCCCAAUUCAGUGAUCUUCUUUUUCUCUAUUUUAUUCAAGUAAGCAUCUAGAGAUUAAAAAAAAAAUUGCCCUAAUAACUGCUUUGGCUGCUUACCGUAAGUUUUGGUAUAUUGUCUCAUUAUUGUCAUUCUCUUGGGUGAGAUGAUCGGCUGUUUCUAUGAUUUGUUGUUUCACCCACUCAUUCUUUAGGAUUAGAAUGUUUAAAUUCCAAUUCACUUUUUUUGUUUGUUUGUUUGUUUUGUCUGUUUAAAUCACAGGUUUAAUUGAAAGGAAGUAAAACAGACAACUUUUUCAAUAAAACAAGUAGCUCUUGUAACUUUUAUAAAUAGUUAUACAUAUAAGGCCAAUACAAUCAGCCCACAUUUUAAUGGAGGAAGAAUAUUGAGUAAGGAAAGAAUAUGAUCUUGUUUAACAUUGCUGACAUCUCAAAUUUCACGUUAAAAAAAAAUAAACCAUAAAUUAUAUUAUUAGUUGGUGCAGUGAAAUCAGUCAUCUUACUAUUGGACAUCAACUUUCCAAUUCACUUUUAGUCUCGCUUUCCUUGGCCCUUUUUGAAUGUAAUUUUGAUUGCAUCAUGAUUUCUUCACCAUUUCUGUCUUUCUGCAUUUCAUUGUGAAGUUUUUGUACCCCAGUAUAUGGUCAAUUUUUGUAUAGGUGCUGUAUAUUGCUGAGCAAAAAAUAGUAUGUUCCUUUCUAUCCCCGUUCAAUUUUCUCCAAGGGUCUAUCAUACCUAAUUUUACUAAAAUGCUAUUCUCCUUAACUUCUUUCUUAUUUAUUUUAUGGUUCAAUUUAUCUAGUUCUGAGAGGGCAAGGUUGAGAUCCCCUAAUAGUAUAGUUUUGCUGUCUAUUUCUUCUUGCAGCUCUCUUAACUUCUCCUUUAGGAAUUUAGAUGCUAUACCAUUUGGUACAUAUAUGUUUAGUAUUGAUAUUGUUUCAUUAUCUAUGGUACUGAACGAGAUGAGGUGAGAUCUUUCAAGACAGUUGUGAAAAUUGAGUAAGGCUUCAUCUAUUUCAGAGUUGAAGUAGGCUGAAGGACUUUAAGCAUCAAGUCAAGGGCAUACUUAAGUCCCUUCCCUGCUAUCCCCUAAGGGCUUACUUAAGUCCCCUUGUUAUCCUCCUAUGACAUCAGUGUCUUUCUGUUUAGGUCAAAAAUGGGCAACUAUGUACUUAUUGGUCAAGUUCAAUUUCUUGAGUAGUUCCCGCGUUUAGAAUGAAGAUCCUCAGCCAAUAAGGAUGAGGGUCAGUGGUGGGAGGUGGUAUUUGCGUUAGGGAUAAAAAGUGUUGACCCUGCCCCCUACGGUGCUUCCUCCCUUCAAUUGUCUGCUCGAUGGGUGGGACGCCCGAUUCUCGAGAACGUAUAAUAAACUUUGCUUUGCUUCUAGAUAUUUCUCCAGCUUUUUUUCAUUAAAUGCUGGCUGAACCACACAGUACCCUUUAGCAAGAUAUAGUUUCUUUCCUUAUCUCUUUUAAUUAAAUCUAUUUUUCCUUUUGCUUGAUCUGAGAUCAAGAUUGCUACCUCUGCUUUUUUUUUUUUUUACUUUAGCUGAAGCAUGAUAGAUUUUGUAUUAUGUAUCUCUGCUUCAAAUGUGUUUCUUGUAAAUAACAUAUUUUGAGAUUCUGGCUUUUAAUCUACUCUGAUAUCUGCUUCCAUUUUAUGGGAGAGUUCAUCCCAUUCAAAUUCAAAGUUAAAAUUACUAAUUCUGUAUUUCCCACCUUCCUGUUUUUCUAAAGCUGUACUUUUCUCUCUCCUUUAACCCUCUUCCUCCUCACUAGUGUUUUGUUUCUAAUGAACACAUCCCUCAAUCUUCCCUCUUUUUUCAGAUCUUCUUAGGAUAUUCACUAUUCUGCCCCAAAUCAUAUUUUUCACCAGUCUACAAUCUGCCUGAGGCACAAUUUUGUUUUGUUUAUGUAUGGGGGGAAACUAGAAAGCUUGGAAUUUUCUGACCUCUACCAUCUUCUCAGAAUUUUCUCUCUUCUUUGAAGGUCUUAAAGCACCAUAUAAAUUGUGUUAUUAGAGAUUAAUUGAGAUAAGGGCAGGUGAAGAUAAAAAACCAACAAAGAAUAAAAAGGAAGGAAGAAAGGAUAUGCAAGAAAGUGAGGAAAGAACAGGUAGAUUGGCAAGGGGAGGGGGGGGUUACUGUGUGAAUUUAUUUUGUUUGAAAUUUAUUAUUUUUUUUUAAAAAGCAAGAAGUAAGAAAUUGAGGUUUGUGAUUUCUUAUGUAAUCCACUGUAAUUUUAGGUGUUUUAAGUUCAGAAUAAAGUCACUUUUGAAAAACAAAGGGGGAAUGAGAUACUUACUCUCUCCCAGGCCAGGCCAGCAGGCCCCCAUAGCUGAGAAGUCUAAAAGACCAGAACUGGAAGCAAGGGGUGGGACUGGGGCUGGAGGGAAGAAAUUUUUUCUUUGUCUGCUUUCCAGAGUAAGGUCAGGGGGACCACAGCAAGAAGAAGAAGAGCUGAGGGAAAGAAAACUUUUUUCCCCUCGAACCAGCCAACAGAAUGACAGAGAAACUGAUGAUUCUUUCUCACUCUUCCUCUGAUUCUCCCUGCCUCUCCCUGCAUGGCCAACAGGACCACAACAAAGAGAUGAACAAUUGGGAUGAGGGUGAGGGGUAGGAGAGAAGACUCGCUUUCUCUUUUCCAGAAUGAGGCCAGCAGCACCAGAACAGCAAGAUGACCAGCUGGGAAAGAGGGAGAUACUGUCUCCCUCUUUCCCUCUUUCCCUCCUUCUUUCUCUCUUUCUCUCUCCUCCUGGAUCCAGCCAACAAGACUACAGUAAAGAGAUGUCUAGAAAAAAGAUGGGGAAUCAGCAUGUCUCCCAGGCCUGACCAGAGGGACAGGAGUGAGUGGAAACACUUCUGUCCCUGAAGCCAGCUAGAAGGCCCAAGAAAAGAUGAGAAGACAAGGAGGAUGUCCGUUUCCAUCUUUCUUAGUGGAGACAGUCAGUGAGGAGCCUCUCUGUCUCCAACUCUCAGUUCCUCUUCUCCCUACUGGAAAGCUCAGCUAGCAAAAGUCUGAAUGAGAGGAAAAUACCAAAAGGUUGAAGGACAAACCCAACAGAGACCCUUUAUGUAUCCCUGGCCCAAGAAGCAAGACUGCCACAACCAAAAGACAACCAGGAGGGAGGAAAAGAGGAAUUUUUCUUUCCUCUCUUACUCUCUCCAGCAUGGAGAUGACCAGGGUGUAAGUAUGAGGGAGGGAGAGCUAGGGGGAAGAUUCUUUUUUUUUUUUCAGAGUCAAAACAAUGGGGCCACAGCAAGAAGAUAACUAUCAAGAAGAGGAAGAUUCUGUCUGUGUCUGCAUCUCCGUUUCAUUCUCUCAUUCUCUCCCUGGAGCCAUGAAGAGGAUUGCCAUAAAGUGAUAUCCAAAACAGGGAGAGAGAGAGAAUGAGGAGGCGCUCCCCUGAACCUGACAAAUGGAACAGGGGUUGAUGAGGCUCCUCUUUGUUUCCCUGGUUCGAAAGAGGAGAUCAAAUGACAAGAUCCAACAGAAGACCCUCUCUGUAUCUCUGGCCCAGGAAGCAAGACUGCCACAACUGGAAGACAUCCAGAAGGGAGGGAGAGAGAAACUUCCAUGUGCUCAUUCUCCCUCCCUUGACAGCAAAGAUGGGACCAGCACAUGAAAAUGGGGAGGGGGAAAGGGAAAGAUUCUAUUUUUCAGGGCAACACCAGUAGGAGAAGCACAAGGAGGAGAAGGGGCAGGAAGAGGAGAAGGGGCUCUAGCUCUUUUUGUGCUCCUCUUCCCCCCCUCUCCAGAAGAGCCAGCUAGCAGAAGCCGGCCUGUGAAGGCAGAACCAUAAAACAGGUAUAGCAGACAGAUGAAUGGUGGAGGAGCUUCUCUUUUCCUGAGUCAGACCAAUGGGGCAACAGCAAGAAGAUGACCUGCUGGAAAAGGAAGACUCUUCUUUCUGUCUGUCUCCCUCUCCCCCUUCCCCCCCUCCUCCUGCUCUUCAGUCUUUAGUCCUGGUCGGUGUUGUCAGUCAUCAUCGGUCAUCGUUGUCAGGGGUUGUCGGUCGUGGUCGUAGGUCAUCAUUGGUCAUGGUCGAGGAUUGUCGGUUGGCAUCAGGGGUCAUCAUUGGGGGUCGUCAGUCGUCGGGGGUCAUCGUCGUUGGGGGCCGUCAUCAUCGGGGCUCAUUGGUCAUCGUCAUCAUUGGUCGUCGUCAUCGGAAGUUGUCGGUCAUCGUCGGGGAUCCAUCAGUCGUCAUCAUCGGGGGUCGUCGGUCGUCAUUGGGGGUCGUCAAUCAUCAGUCGUCAUUGGGGAUCGUCAGUCGUCGUCGGGGGUCGUCGGUCGUCGUCGGGGGUCGUCGAUCGUCGGUCGUCAUCGGGAGUCGUCGGUCGUCAUCGGGAGUCAUCGGUCGUCGUCGUCGGGGAUCGUCGGUCGUCGUUGGGAGUCAUCGCUCGUCGUCGUCGGGGAUCGUCGGUCGUCGUCGUCGGGGGUCGUCGUCGGGGUCAUCGUCGGGGGUCGUCGGUCGUCGUCGGUCGUAGUCGGGGGUUGUCGGUCGUCGUCGGGAUCGUCGGUCGUCGUCAGGAUCGUCAGUCGUCGUCGGUCGUCGUCGGGGUCAUCGAUCGUCGGUCGUCGUCGGGGGUCGUCGGUCGUUGGUCGUUGAGGAUCGUCGGUCGUCGAGGAUCGUCGGUCAUCGAGGAUCGUCAUUGGGGGUCAUUGGUCGUCAUCAGUGGUCGUCGGUCGUCAUCCUCGCUCGUCCUCGGUCAUCAUCCUCGCUCGUCCUCGCUCAUUGUUGGUUGUCCUCGCUCAUCCUUGUUUAUUGUCAGUCGUCCUCCUUCGUCCCUGGGGGUCCUCGCUCGUCCUUGAUCGUCCUCAAGGGUUGUCAGUCGUCCUCGCUGGUUGUUGGUCAUCCUUGCUCGUCCUAGCUCAUUCUCAUAGGUUGUUGGUUAUCAUCGGAUCGGUCAUCAUUCGUUGGUCGUUGGUCAUCGUUGAUCGUCCUGGCUCAUCCUCGCUCAUCCUCAGUGGUCCUUGGUUGUCCUCGGGUGUUGUCAGUCAUCUCACUUGUCCUCAGGGGCCCUCGGUCAUCCUCAGUGGUCCUAGGUCGUCCUUAGUCAUCCUUGGUCGUCAUCGGUGGUCCUCGGGGGUCAUCGGUCAUCCUCAGUCUUUGGUCGUUGGUCAUCGUCACUUGUCCUUGGUGUUCCUCGGGGGUCCUCGGUAGUCCUCGGGUGUCGUCGGUAGUCCUCGGGUGUCGUCAGUCGUCCUCGCUCGUCCUCGGUGGUCCUUGGGAGUCCUCGGGGGUCGUCGGUCAUCCUUGAUCGUCGUCGGUGGUCCUUGUGGGUCAUUGGUCAUCCUCACUCAUCCUUGGUGCUCCUCGGGGGUCCUCGGUAGUCCUCAGAUGUUAUCAAUCAUCCUCACUUGUCUUCGGUGAUCCUUGGUGGUCUUCGGGGAUCGUCGGUCGUCUUCGAUCGUCGUCAGUCAAGCCCCGUCCUCGGGAGUUGUUGGUCAUUGUCGGUGGGCCUCGGUGACCCUCAGUCAUCCUCAGUUCUUGGAUCAGGCCAAUAGGAGGACAGCAAGCAGGAGAAAGGCUGGAAGAGGAAGAUUCGCUUCAUUUCUUCUUCUUUUCUCUUGCCAACAAAUGCAGCGAGCAGAAGGCUAACCGUGAAGAGUUUACCAGAAGACAGAAGAACUACUGCGGAGAAACGGCCAAUGUGGGAGCAAGACAGAAGAUUCUUCCUCUUGUCCUGAUCAGACCAAUAGGACCACAGCAAAUGGUCCCCAGAAAACCUGCUCUCUUUCUGGUGGUCUAGUCACAAGCAAGGACCACAGCAAGGAGAUAACCAGCUCAAAAAGGGAGAUUCUCAAAGAUGACAGAGAAAAACCAGCAAGUUGCCUGGACUGUCCUCAGUUACCCUCAAAACAACAUUCAAUCGAGCCUCUAAGCAAAUUCUGGAGUGAAAGAACUCACAAAAAGAUAAGAUUUCAAGCAGGAUGCUCUGAAAAGAACAGGAAAAGACUUCUGUGAAUUUAUGCAACGUGAAAUAGGCAGAACCAGAAAAACAUCGUACACAGUUAACAGCAACAUCUUAUGAUGACUUACUGUGAAUAACUGAACUAUUCUCAGCAAUACUAUGAUCCAAAACAGUUCUGAAGGAUUUAUGGUGAAAAGUAGUGCGGUCCAUCUCCAGAGAAAGAACUGAGCCUGAAAGGAGAUUGAAGAUACUUUUUCUUUAUUUUUCUGGAGUUAUUUUUGUCUGUAUUCUCUUUCAAAACAUGACUUAUGUAAAUGUGUUUUUCAUUAUCACAUGUGUAUGACAUUUCAAAUUGUUUGCCUUUUCAAUGAAAAGAGGGAGGAGGGAAAUUUAGAACUCAGGAUUUGAAAAAAAGAUUGGUGAAAUUGUUUUUAAUGUAAUUGGGGAAAAACAAAAUAUUGAAUUAUGGAAAGGGGCAAGAAAUGAAGAGACAUUUUUUAAAAACCUGGAAAGACUUACACAAACUGAUGUUGAGUAAAGUGGGCAGAACCAGGAAAACAUUGCCCACAGAACAGCAACACUGUGCAAUGAUAAGCUAAGAUUGACUUAGCCCUUCUGUAUAAGACUGAUCCAAGAUGAUUCCAAAAGAUUCAUGAUGAAAAGUGCCAUGCACAUCCAGAGAAAGAACAUAUGGAGUCUGAAGACAGAUCAAAGCACAUUAUUUUCAUGAGUUUUUUUUUUCAAAAUUUUCCCUUUUUUCCUCUUAUUUCAUGUUAGAACUAUUAUGGAAAUCUGUUUUACAUUAUGGCAAAUAAAUAAUAUAUAUGUGUGUGAUGGCUUAUUUAUGGAUGAUGACAGGAAAGAAAAAAGUAUUGAACUCAAAAUGUUUUUUAAAAUAAAUGUAAAAAUUGGUUUUACAUGUAAUUGGAAAAAAAUAAAUUAUGAUUGAAAAACAGGAAUGGUUCUUGUUCAUUAUCUGUUUCACUUCCUG